RNAcentral lists this ribosomal RNA (448 nucleotides) under uncultured bacterium. Its description in RNAcentral is "bacterial SSU rRNA". It matches the Rfam family "Bacterial small subunit ribosomal RNA", at positions 64 to 507 of the family's 1533-position model. The record is from RNAcentral.
GAACGGCAGCACGGACUUCGGUCUGGUGGCGAGUGGCGAACGGGUGAGUAAUACAUCGGAACAUGUCCUGUAGUGGGGGAUAGCCCGGCGAAAGCCGGAUUAAUACCGCAUACGAUCUACGGACGAAAGCGGGGGACCUUCGGGCCUCGCGCUAUAGGGUUGGCCGAUGGCUGAUUAGCUAGUUGGUGGGGUAAAGGCCUACCAAGGCGACGAUCUGUAGCUGGUCUGAGAGGACGACCAGCCACACUGGGACUGAGACACGGCCCAGACUCCUACGGGAGGCAGCAGUGGGGAAUUUUGGACAAUGGGGGAAACCCUGAUCCAGCCAUGCCGCGUGCGGGAAGAAGGCCUUCGGGUUGUAAACCGCUUUCGGCCGGGACGAAAUCGCAUCGAUGAAUAAUCGGUGUGGAUGACGGUACCGGAAGAAGAAGCACCGGCUAACUACGUG